CCUCCCCCUCACUCCAGCAGGCCCCGCCUUCCCCCUCCUCUUUACGUGAAUCAGCUGAUUUGAGCGUCCCUAGAAGCCGGCGAGGAUCUUGGCGGUUAAAACGACGGCGCGCGGCUGUAGUGAUUUUGAAACACAGAAGCAUCAGCUGCUGAAUUUGUGUUUUGUUUCCAACUUGAUGGUGUUUAAAACUAUCUCAUUCCAUUAUCGGAGGAAUGAUAUUGUGAUGGGGUAUUCUUACUGACUAAUGGACUCAAAGGAGAAAAGCUCAUCAGAGCAAGAAGGAAUGAGAGAAAGGGGCCUGGUCUAUACGUGGCAGGCGGGCGGCUGCUGUCCAGCACCAGAAAGCCUCCCUGGCUGGAGUGGAAAGACAGUAUUGCAGGUGGCACUUGGCACAAACCAUGGCGUGCUUCUGUCA
This is a long non-coding RNA of Sphaerodactylus townsendi, 415 nucleotides long. RefSeq lists it as uncharacterized. The record is from RefSeq and is a predicted model, not a curated record. The transcript is spliced from 3 exons. NCBI's taxonomy places the organism in Eukaryota, Metazoa, Chordata, Lepidosauria, Squamata, Sphaerodactylidae.